AUUGAACGCUGCGGCAGGCUUAACACAUGCAAGUCGAGCGAGCGGCGGACGGGUGAGUAAUGCUUAGGAAUCUGCCUCUUAGUGGGGGACACCAUCUCGAAAGGGAUGCUAAUACCGCAUACUACUCGAUGUGCCUAGUCGGAUUAGCUAGUUGGUGGGGUAAAGGCCUACCAAGGCGACGAUCGGUAGCGGGUCUGAGAGGAUGAUCCGCCACACUGGGACUGAGACACGGCCCAGACUCCUACGGGAGGCAGCAGUGGGGAAUAUGGACAAUGGGGGGAACCCUGAUCCAGCCAUGCCGCGUGUGUGAAGAAGGCCUUAUGGUUGUAAAGUACUUUCAGUCGGGAGGCGUUACCGACAGAAGAAGCACCGGCUAACUCCGUGCCAGCAGCCGCGGUAAUUC
RNAcentral lists this ribosomal RNA (403 nucleotides) under uncultured bacterium. RNAcentral describes it as "partial 16S ribosomal RNA". It matches the Rfam family "Bacterial small subunit ribosomal RNA", at positions 30 to 526 of the family's 1533-position model. The record is from RNAcentral.